UUGAACCGCAUGGUUCGAAAUUGAAAGGCGGCUUCGGCUGUCACUUAUGGAUGGACCCGCGUCGCAUUAGCUAGUUGGUGAGGUAACGGCUCACCAAGGCAACGAUGCGUAGCCGACCUGAGAGGGUGAUCGGCCACACUGGGACUGAGACACGGCCCAGACUCCUACGGGAGGCAGCAGUAGGGAAUCUUCCGCAAUGGACGAAAGUCUGACGGAGCAACGCCGCGUGAGUGAUGAAGGCUUUCGGGUCGUAAAACUCUGUUGUUAGGGAAGAACAAGUGCUAGUUGAAUAAGCUGGCACCUUGACGGUACCUAACCAGAAAGCCACGGCUAACUACGUGCCAGCAGCCGCGGUAAUACGUAGGUGGCAAGCGUUAUCCGGAAUUAUUGGGCGUAAAGCGCGCGCAGGUGGUUUCUUAAGUCUGAUGUGAAAGCCCACGGCUCAACCGUGGAGGGUCAUUGGAAACUGGGAGACUUGAGUGCAGAAGAGGAAAGUGGGAAUUCCCAUGUGUAGCGGUGAAAUGCGUAGAGAUAUGGAGGAACACCAGUGGCGAAAGGCGACUUUCUGGUCUGUUACUGA
This 580-nucleotide ribosomal RNA is filed under the name Bacillus cereus. RNAcentral's name for it is "bacterial SSU rRNA". It matches the Rfam family "Bacterial small subunit ribosomal RNA", at positions 181 to 743 of the family's 1533-position model. Lineage: Bacteria; Bacillati; Bacillota; Bacilli; Caryophanales; Bacillaceae. The record is from RNAcentral.